This 391-nucleotide long non-coding RNA is filed under the name Dromaius novaehollandiae (emu). Its description in RNAcentral is "lncRNA (ENSDNVG00000005717.1)". Lineage: Eukaryota; Metazoa; Chordata; Aves; Casuariiformes; Dromaiidae. The record is from RNAcentral.
AGAGACUAGCAUAAUGUAUAGCUACUAGGAUGUAGUAAACCUAAUCGUGUUUAUCUGUCUGCAUUUACAGCUGUUGUGUUUAACAGGACGCAGAAGUCAUGAUUUUCUUUCCCUGUCGCCCAGUGAAGCUGGCAGACUCCGCUCACUGAAAAUGCUCCAGUAACGCUGGGAGGAGAACCAAGACAGUUGCCAAGCUCGGGUCUCGGUGCACCAUCUCUUCUGAUCCCUCCCGCUUAAAAAGCUCACAGUUCAUCACGAGCAGAUCCGCCGAGCUCUCCGAUUGAUCCUGCUGAGCCACCCAGUUAGUGARAUGGUGAUGCUCUGAAUUCCCAAAGCCUUGAAAUUCCCAGGUUUCAGAAUUGUAUGCUUAUAUAAAACAGUCAUUUUUUUA